UCGCGCGAUGGGAGCGGCCGAUAUCGGAUUAGCUGUUGGUGAGGUAAAGGCUCACCAAGGCGACGAUCCGUAGCUGGUCUGAGAGGACGACCAGCCACACUGGAACUGAGACACGGUCCAGACUCCUACGGGAGGCAGCAGUGGGGAAUUUUGGACAAUGGGGGCAACCCUGAUCCAGCCAUUCCGCGUGAGUGAAGAAGGCCUUCGGGUUGUAAAGCUCUUUCAGCAGGAACGAAACGGUGGCCACUAAUACUGGCUACUAAUGACGGUACCUGAAGAAGAAGCACCGGCUAACUACGUGCCAGCAGCCGCGGUAAUACGUAGGGUGCGAGCGUUAAUCGGAAUUACUGGGCGUAAAGCGUGCGCAGGCGGUUCCAUAAGACAGAUGUGAAAUCCCCGGGCUUAACCUGGGAACUGCGUUUGUGACUGUGGGACUCGAGUGUGGCAGAGGGGGGUGGAAUUCCACGUGUAGCAGUGAAAUGCGUAGA
This 488-nucleotide ribosomal RNA is filed under the name uncultured bacterium. RNAcentral's name for it is "bacterial SSU rRNA". It matches the Rfam family "Bacterial small subunit ribosomal RNA", at positions 213 to 694 of the family's 1533-position model. The record is from RNAcentral.